GCGGGUGUAGUUCAGUGGUAGAACGUCAGCCUUCCAAGCUGAAUGUCGUCGGUUCGAGCCCGAUCGCCCGCU
RNAcentral lists this transfer RNA (72 nucleotides) under Myxococcales bacterium. Its description in RNAcentral is "tRNA-Gly". It matches the Rfam family "tRNA". From Rfam's summary of the family: Transfer RNA (tRNA) molecules are approximately 80 nucleotides in length. The record is from RNAcentral. Lineage: Bacteria; Pseudomonadati; Myxococcota; Myxococcia; Myxococcales.